GCCGAAAUAGCUCAGUUGGGAGAGUGUAGACUGAAGAUCUAAAGGUCCCUGGUUCGAUCCCGGGUUUCGGCA
Danio rerio (zebrafish) is the source of this 72-nucleotide non-coding RNA. NCBI's taxonomy places the organism in Eukaryota, Metazoa, Chordata, Actinopteri, Cypriniformes, Danionidae. The record is from Rfam.